This is a long non-coding RNA of Cucumis sativus (cucumber), 1011 nucleotides long. RefSeq lists it as uncharacterized. The transcript has 2 exons. The record is from RefSeq and is a predicted model, not a curated record. NCBI's taxonomy places the organism in Eukaryota, Viridiplantae, Streptophyta, Magnoliopsida, Cucurbitales, Cucurbitaceae.
UUUGAGCAUUUGGCAGAUGAGAUAUUUGUUUAUCAAUCAACUUAUAUUGGAAAUUUUUUUAAAAGACUUUAUAUGGAUAAAGCACAUCCAUUGAACAUUCCAAUGCAAGUUCGUUUACUAGAUGUAAAGCAAUAUAUAUUUCAACCCCGAGUUGAUAAUGAAGAACUUCUUGACCUAUAAGUACCAUAUCUUAGUGCAAUUGUUACACUUAUGUAUCUUGUUAAUAAUACAAGACCAGAUAUUGUAUUUUUAGUAAAUUGAUAACUACAUCUUCCUUUGUGGACUUAGAAGCACUGUGGUUUCUUUAAGAAGUUUGAAUAUAGUCUUUGUUAUUGUGUAGAAUUGUAAGCUGCUAGUUUUCUUGUUAAGGCUCAUUCAAUUUCCCAUUUUAAUCAUUUCACUUAAAAUUGUUGACCCACUUGCAUCUUGGAGUUAUUUUAUUUCAAAUUCUUGAUAAGCAAAUCAAAAUUUGGGACGUAUCUACUGGACAAUGUAAUAUAACUGUGCAACAUCAUACAGACAAGGUAAGAAUCUCAAUUGUAUUGCUUUGAUCGUGCGUGUUCGAGUUCAUUCAUUCAAACUUGCACCAACAAUGAUCUGUUCAUGAGCAUGAAUGAUGAAAUCUAUUAUCAUUAAUCCUUCUAGGAAAGAGUAUGGUUUGAUGGUGAAUUACUACACAAGGAGAGGUGAUAUGAACGGUGCACGUGAAAUCUUUGAAAAUAUGCGAGCUAGGGAAAUAGAACCAUGGUCUCAUGUCUACACAAAGUAAUAACUACUCCUAUUUUCUCCCUUUCUUUCGUCAUAUGUUAAUUUGAUCUCAAUGUUAGCUUAAUAUUUUUGCUUCAUUUAUUGACAUAAAGGUCACCAUUCUAGUUUUGAAUAUGGUUAAAGUUUGAUUGAUUUGUAUAGAAGGCCAAUUAAGUAUUUUAUGCUUGAAAUAUAUAUUUUGAUGGUAGAUAUGUCGUUGCAAAAGUAUAUUUACUAUAUUAAUUCAAUCUAAAUAUUUUUCAA